UUAUAUGAGAGUUUGAUCCUGGCUCAGGAUGAACGCCGGCGGUGUGCCUAAUACAUGCAAGUCGAACGCGUUGGCCCAACUGAUUGAUUGUGCUUGCACAGGAUUGACGUUGGUUUCCCAACGAGUGGCGGACGGGUGAGUAACACGUAGGCAACCUGCCCCGAAGCGGGGGACAACAUUUGGAAACAAGUGCUAAUACCGCAUAACAACUUUGACCGCCUGGUCAAAGCUUAAAAGAUGGUUUCGGCUAUCACUUCGGGAUGGGCCUGCGGCGCAUUAGCUUGUUGGUGGGGUAACGGCCUACCAAGGCGAUGAUGCGUAGCCGAGUUGAGAGACUGAUCGGCCACAAUGGGACUGAGACACGGCCCAUACUCCUACGGGAGGCACCAGUAGGGAAUCUUCCACAAUGGGCGCAAGCCUGAUGGAGCAACACCGCGUGAGUGAAGAAGGGUUUCGGCUCGUAAAGCUCUGUUGUUGAAGAAGAAUGUGCAAGAGAGUAACUGUUCUUGUAUUGACGGUAUUCAACCAGAAAGUCACGGCUAACUACGUGCCAGCAGCCGCGGUAAUACGUAGGUGGCAAGCGUUAUCCGGAUUUAUUGGGCGUAAAGCGAGCGCAGGCGGUUUUCUAAGUCUGAUGUGAAAGCCUUCGGCUUAACCGAAGAAGUGCAUCGGAAACUGGAUGACUUGAGUGCAGAAGAGGGCAGUGGAACUCCAUGUGUAGCGGUGGAAUGCGUAGAUAUAUGGAAGAACACCAGUGGCGAAGGCGGCUGCCUGGUCUGCAACUGACGCUGAGGCUCGAAAGCAUGGGUAGCGAACAGGAUUAGAUACCCUG
Molecule: ribosomal RNA, 832 nt
Filed under: Limosilactobacillus ingluviei
Lineage: Bacteria; Bacillati; Bacillota; Bacilli; Lactobacillales; Lactobacillaceae
Description: bacterial SSU rRNA
Rfam family: Bacterial small subunit ribosomal RNA
Source: RNAcentral